Molecule: unclassified non-coding RNA, 2464 nt
Filed under: Haliotis rubra (blacklip abalone)
Lineage: Eukaryota; Metazoa; Mollusca; Gastropoda; Lepetellida; Haliotidae
Description: uncharacterized LOC124273354, transcript variant X3
Source: RNAcentral
UGCGUGCGCGCGUGUCUGGGUGCGUGGAUGGGUGGAUGUUUGGAUGGAUGGGUGCAUGGAUGGGUGGAUACAUGGAUGCAUAACAGUAUAUUCCUGCUUGAACAAAAAGCUAAUAAUAUAACUGGUCCAGCUUAUAUCUAGUCUCACCCGACACAAAUAAUCGGUAUUACAAUUAUGUUAGCUUUGAAUAUGCUUUUCGAUGGAAAGGAAUGAUAAGAAAUCAGUUUAUUUAAAACUACAAAGUAUUCCGUUCCUAUUUUCUUACCAUGAAGAUCUCAAAUACCUUGUACGUGACUUUAACUUGAUAUUUAUCCAAUAUGUCUGUAGUUUUACGGAAACAUAUCAGUAUACACGUGUAAUAUGUAUCUGUAUAUUAUACAUUCAUCAUAAUUCAUAUGAUUGUCAUAACAAACUGACCAGCACAUAUUCGGCGUCAAGUCCAAAUCUGCAAGAUGACCAAUGCAACGAAUACUUACACUGGUUACUAAUACAGAAAAUUGAAUUGUAUAAUAAAUGCUUAAUUAAUUGUUUAUUAAGAACAAUAGGAUAGUAUUAUGAAUAUAACUGGAAACGUAAUCUUCCGUCUCACAGAUCAUGUCUACAAGUGAAGAGAUGUUUCUUAUUAACGCCCGGGAACACAAGACUCGAAGUUUAAAGAAAUUGCUAUUAAGUCUCUGAUAUAUUCUUUCAUAAUCACCGGAGUUUCCAUGGAGUGAUGAUGAUUUGGAGAUUUUACGUGUGCAUUCCUCUGGGAAGCCUAUUUCGCACACGGUCGAACUGCGUUGAGGUGCAUGCGGAUCGUCUUAAUCAAAUAAACGACGACAAAAGCAAACACAUUAAGUGAUCGUGAUAUAGAAUUCUUUAUAAAUAUCUGACAAAUCUGUUAACUACAAAAUGUGAACAUUUCUCAGUAAAAAGCAAAAAGCAGUGAAUAUUACAGAAAUUGAUCACUGAAAGUCAGCAUACCUCGGGCAUUAAGGAAGUAUCGCUUUCCCUCUAUAUUGCUUUCCCACUGCUUUGCUUUACCACAAUAUGUACAUUAUAUAUAUCACUUUGUCACUUCCGUGUUUUGCUAUGUAUACACUUUCGUCCUCUCCAUAUUCACUCCAAAGAUUUCAUUUUCAUUGUAUAAAUUGUCUUCGUCACGAUAUGGCUGAGAUAUUGCCGAUGUGACGUUAAAUAUUAACUCACUCACUUACUCACUAACUCACUCUAAAGAGUGAAAAAUUGUUUAUAGCAAAUGUGAAUAGAACAGCAAAUGCACAUAUACCGUAUUAUCUGUACAACUAAUUUAUUCUCGGAGAACAUUUGAUAGCAAGUUUUAUCACCGAAAUAUGUUUAGCAGUACCAUCUGUCAAAAAAGUUUCACAUUAUCUGUAAUUCUGAAUGACUUUUGUUGUAGAAAGUAAGUAUGAUUUUAUGCUUGUUUUCCAAGGCUUAAAUGCAAUUCAUAUAUCAAUCGUUUAACAUGCUCAUCGAAAUUGAUUUCACAGACUGGCGUGUUUCAGAAUUAUGCGGAUGUGACACGGUUUUCAGGAUUCGGUAUGUAAGUAUAGCAUGUGAGGUCACACAAUGCGAUACCUACAGUGGUCAGUGUGGAGUGGUCCCUCCUGCCUUCAGCCAGACGCAGCGUUACCAGAUCCAGGUCCUGUAACAACCGCCUUCCCAGCAAUGGUGGCACUUCCUGUCCUGUGAGAACAAUAUCCUGUCCUGUGAGAACAUCUUCCUGUCCUGUGAGAACAAUAUCAUGUCCUGUGAGAACAACUUCCUGUCCUGUGAGAACAAUAUCAUGUCCUGUGAGAACAACUUCCUAUCCUGUGAGAACAACGUCCUGUCCUGUGAGAACAAUAUCCUGUCCCGUGAGAACAAUAUCCUGUCCUGUGAGAACAAUAUCCUGUCCUGUGAGAACAACUUCCUGUCCCGUGAGAACAAUAUCCUGUCCUACGAGAACAACUGGACAAGUGGACGAGUGGUCAGUGCACGGACAGGAUGACGAUGGACACAAUACGCACGUGCAAUAGUCCUGUGCCUCAGGACGGUAGUCAGCUGUGUUUAGGGCCGACGUCACAGACGGAAACAUCACCAAAGUCUUUAAAUGGCAUUUAGAACAUCACCGUGUAACAAGACGUGUUCAGCCAUUUUAUGCCAGACGAUGGUACUAACUACAGCAAACAACACCACCACGCCAACAUCAGCGACUACCCCCUCUGAUGGAAGUGAGAUGGCUGUGUCACUGUGCCUCCUGGUCGCCACUUCCUUGUUGCUGCUCAUCCAGUGACUGCUGCGUGACGUACCGUGACGUCUCACUCUGACGUCUUUCUGACUCUGGUCACUGACGUCUCCGGAUGUUUGUACCAGCCCUUGGACGGCAUCGGUGCUUUCAUGACGUGGGAAAGCCAUCUGCUCUGAAACACUGAUAGUAUCGUUGUCGUUUUUCUUUCAAACAAUUAAACGUUUCUUUUAU